GAGGGUAUAAACUCAGUGGAAGAGUGUGUGCUUAGCAUGCAUGAGGUCCUGGGUUCAAUCCCCAGCACCUCCA
Molecule: transfer RNA, 73 nt
Filed under: Camelus bactrianus (Bactrian camel)
Lineage: Eukaryota; Metazoa; Chordata; Mammalia; Artiodactyla; Camelidae
Also listed under: 2 other names
Rfam family: tRNA
About the family: Transfer RNA (tRNA) molecules are approximately 80 nucleotides in length. Their secondary structure includes four short double-helical elements and three loops (D, anti-codon, and T loops).
Source: Rfam by way of RNAcentral